GCUGCCCCAGAAGCAUUGCAGGUCUGGCUGCGGUGUCACACGUGUGUCAGUAGGUGGCAGAGAGGAGAGAAGCUAAGUCUAUGCCCAGUGUUCCAACUGUGAACAUUGGAAUGAAAAAUAGCAAGCCUGA
Small nucleolar RNA from Grammomys surdaster, 130 nucleotides. RefSeq annotates it as small nucleolar RNA SNORA17. The transcript has a single exon. The record is from RefSeq and is a predicted model, not a curated record. NCBI's taxonomy places the organism in Eukaryota, Metazoa, Chordata, Mammalia, Rodentia, Muridae.